GUGCCAGCCGCCGCGGUAAUACGUAGGUGGCGAGCGUUGUCCGGAAUUACUGGGUGUAAAGGGUGCGUAGGCGGGUAUGCAAGUCAGAUGUGAAAUACCGGGGCUCAACCCCGGGGCUGCAUUUGAAACUGUAUAUCUUGAGUGCAGGAGAGGAAAGCGGAAUUCCUAGUGUAGCGGUGAAAUGCGUAGAGAUUAGGAGGAACACCAGUGGCGAAGGCGGCUUUCUGGACUGUAACUGACGCUGAGGCACGAAAGCGUGGGGAGCGAACAGGAUUAGAUACCCUGGUAGUCCACGCUGUAAACGAUGGAUACUAGGUGUAGGGGGUAUCGACCCCCUCUGUGCCGGAGUUAACACAAUAAGUAUCCCACCUGGGGAGUACGGCCGCAAGGUUGAAACUCAAAUGAAUUGACGGGG
RNAcentral lists this ribosomal RNA (415 nucleotides) under uncultured prokaryote. RNAcentral's name for it is "bacterial SSU rRNA". It matches the Rfam family "Bacterial small subunit ribosomal RNA", at positions 505 to 918 of the family's 1533-position model. The record is from RNAcentral.